CGUGAGCGGCGGACGGGUGAGUAACGCGUGGGUAACCGUGCCUCAUACAGGGGGAUAACAGUUGGAAACGGCUGCUAAUACCGCAUAAGCGCACAGUACCGCAUGGUACGGUGUGAAAAACUCCGGUGGUAUGAGAUGGACCCGCGUCUGAUUAGGUAGUUGGUGGGGUAACGGCCUACCAAGGCGACGAUCAGUAGCCGCCUGAGAGGGUGAACGGCCACAUUGGGACUGAGACACGGCCCAA
This 244-nucleotide ribosomal RNA is filed under the name uncultured bacterium. Its description in RNAcentral is "partial 16S ribosomal RNA". It matches the Rfam family "Bacterial small subunit ribosomal RNA", at positions 90 to 334 of the family's 1533-position model. The record is from RNAcentral.